UAUUGUCGAUCUCCAGUUGGUUCAGAGCAAUGAGGUUGGUGGCAGCUCAUACAUGGAGAAAUAGGGCCUGAAGAGGAGCCUGUCAUUGUUGGGUGCACGUGGUGUAACCGUUGACUGAAUUGUCACCAACCACCACCCAGAAAUUCAGAAAUUCCUGAAGGAGGAAAACAUCACACAAUUCUACGUUGUCUGGCAUUUGAAGAAGGGACUUUCAAAGAAACUAGAUUAAAUACGCAAAACAAUGACUGUCAAAAAGUAAAGAGGUGGAUGACAGCCAUCAGAACCAUGUCUAUUGAACAACUUCAUCAUCCAAAACGGGGCCAGAGAGAGUGGCUGAAUGGACCUCCCUCCUGAACCAUCUUUC
Long non-coding RNA from Etheostoma spectabile (orangethroat darter), 364 nucleotides. RefSeq lists it as uncharacterized. The transcript is spliced from 3 exons. The record is from RefSeq and is a predicted model, not a curated record. Lineage: Eukaryota; Metazoa; Chordata; Actinopteri; Perciformes; Percidae.